UACGGGAGGCAGCAGUGGGGAAUAUUGCACAAUGGGCGAAAGCCUGAUGCAGCUAUGCCGCGUGUAUGAAGAAGGCCUUAGGGUUGUAAAGUACUUUCAUCGGGGAGGAAAAAACAAAACUAAUAAUUUUAUUUCUUGACGUUACCCGAAAAAGAAGCACCGGCUAACUCCGUGCCAGCAGCCGCGGUAAUACGGAGGGUGCUAGCGUUAAUCAGAAUUACUGGGCGUAAAGAGCACGUAGGUGGUUUUUUUAAGUCAGAUGUGAAAUCCCUGGGCUUAACCUAGGAACUGCAUUUUGAAACUGAAAUACUAGAGUAUCGUAGAGGGAGGUAGAAUUCUAGGUGUAGCGGUGAAAUGCGUAGAUAUCUGGAGGAAUACCUGUGGCGAAAGCGGCCUCCUAAACGAAUACUGACACUGAGGUGCGAAAGCGUGGGGAGCAAACAGGAUUAGAUACC
This 455-nucleotide ribosomal RNA is filed under the name uncultured bacterium. RNAcentral's name for it is "bacterial SSU rRNA". It matches the Rfam family "Bacterial small subunit ribosomal RNA", at positions 340 to 786 of the family's 1533-position model. The record is from RNAcentral.